GAGAAAACAUAGUGAGAGAGAACCAGAGCAUCGACGGUUUAUAUUAACACGACGGCGGAGACUAGACGGACGUCGAUUAUAUUCAAAGAGAAUACAUCCAACUUUGAUUACCCUCAAAGCAAAUCGCUUGCGAACGGUGGUGUUGGGGGAUGUCGGUGGCACAAGAAGAGAUCUGAGCCACGGUGAGGCUAUCAUUUGAUCAAUCCCAAAACCAAGAUUUGGUUCCCGUGAUGAGAAGGUCUAGUUUUGCCGCAAUAGGGAGUAAUACCACUGCCGCACAGCGCUCGACGCGGAAGGUAGCGAUUUCUAAGCCUGAAAAUGUGGGAUGGAAGAGUGUGGUGAGGAUAUUUGGCAAACAGCUUGGUGCACGCUUCUUCAAUCCCUUAUUUUAAAAUCAAGUGUUUUGAUAUGUUGUUAGCUGGUAUCAAAGUGGUGAUGAUGGUACAUAGACGACGGAGGACGUGACUCAGAGACAUGGUGGAAGUAUAAUAAUUUAGAGUUUUAGAGGUAGAAGAAGACAAACCAAAGACAAUGGUAGAAGUAUAAUGAUGUUUGAUUUUUGAAACUUUGAUUGUAUUUCUAUUAGACAAGUUAAUAGUUGUUGAGGUAGUUGUGAUUGAGUUU
This is a non-coding RNA of Camelina sativa (false flax), 624 nucleotides long. Lineage: Eukaryota; Viridiplantae; Streptophyta; Magnoliopsida; Brassicales; Brassicaceae. The record is from RefSeq and is a predicted model, not a curated record.